CAUCUUCUCUCUCAGUGGGAUAUAAGCUUGGUGAGAGCAGGAAGCAGGUGUAUUGUGGUCGCCACCGAACCCUGGUGCCUGGAACAGUGGUCACCCCAGAGUAGGAGGGUGCCAAUAACUAUUUUUUGAGUGAGUGAAUGAAUAUAAUUCCCUGCCUCUGGAGGUAUCCUAGAAAAAGGUAGACAACAGAUGCUAGAUGGUGCCCUGGGUACUGAGUUAUCCCUGCCCCCACUCCAAUGGAGGCGUCCCACAGAGGGUCACCCUGGCACCCUGUGCCCCAAGCUGUGAGGUUUUGUGGGUUUGUGGUUCACUUGGGCAGCAUCCCUGAUGGAGUCAGGGCAGACUGCGAGGAUUUGGCAUUGGGUCGGCUGGAUCUGUGGGAGAUCCCCAAGGGUGCAGAAGCCGAGCAGCAGUGAGACCCAGCAGGGGCUGCCCUGCUUCCAGAAACAGAGAUGCCACCCAACAGCAGGGUGAGCUCCGAGUGUCCCGGGACUCAAGGCUCUCCAGGGAACAGCCAGGUGGUUUCAUUGAUGCGGACCAGGGCUCAUUGACCUUCUAGUGCCUGCCUGACACACAGUAGGUGUGUUCAUUCAGCCAACAGACAUGUAUUGAGCUCUACUGUGUGUGAAGCACUGUUCUCUCCAGAUGCUGGACACAGAGCAGUGAGCUGAUGAAUUCUCUGCCCUUGUGGGGUUUACAUUCUAGUGAGGACAGAAGAUGAAGGACAAAUAAAUACACAGUGAAAUAAUGUGAGGCAGAGAUGAAAGCUGUUCAAACGCAAGGGUGAGGGUAAUAGAGGGGUGUUAUCUUGGAGUGGUGGUCAGCGCAGCGUUUGAGCAGGCCACGAAAAGAGCAGAGAAAACAUUCCCCGCAGAGGGAAUGGCAGGUGCUCAGCCCUGAUGUGGGAACAGCCUUGGCCCGCAGUAGGACGAGGGGAGUGGGUGAUGGGGAGACCGGGGAGGAGCCAGCAGGCACGGGCUGGGGUGGAAGCGGCUGAGGCCAGCCUAAGGACUUCAUAUUUUGUCCCAAGCCGGGUGGGCGUUGUGGUAUGCCCGUGUUCCUAGCCAGCUUUCCAGAGCUAGUUGUGUCAUCUCUUUCCGACUCCACGCUCAGUGAUGUCAUGUUGAUAGCUUGAAAUUGCCAAAGCGGGAGUGUUUAUCCCCCAGAUAUGGGCAAAUGCAGCGAAUGACAUCUGCACCCCUAACCAGUUCUCAACAUUUACGCUACGGGGAAGUUUUUGACUUGGGGAGUGUCAUGAUCUGACUUAACAUUUUCAAAUGUAAGAGAAUGAAGAGAAGGAGCAUGGACUUCUACUGAAGGCAAGAACACAAAUGAGAUGAAUGAGCAGGGGCCGUCUCCUCCAGGCUGGGGACUGAGACAACCAGAGGACAUAGGAAAGGGCUGCGAUCUCCAGGUUGGUCUGCAUCUGCACUAAGAGGCCUGACGGAGGGAUGACUGAGAGGGGUCCAAGGCCCUGAUCAUCUCACUAGAUUUCUGUGAGGAAGGGGGUUGCAGAAGUACAGAAUGUGCCUCGAGGCCCUCUGAGAGGCUGUCUGAGGAGGGCAGGCUGAAAGCACCUCAAGAGGGCAGUUCUGGGUGCACCCGAGCAUCCCCCAACUUUCAUGCAUCACCUUGGCAUCAUGCCGAGUGCAGACCCUGGUGCAGCAGGCCUGGGCAGGGGAUCCGAGUGGUUCGUGUUUUAAGAACACAGUUGCAUUUCCACUGAGAAGUAUCCAAGCCUGAUGCAUUGGCCUCGAGGAUGCAGAAAACACGAGGGGCGAGGAGUUGCCAGCACGGCGCCGCCGACAGGUCGGUGGACUACAGACCUACAGCAUUUGGGAACCAAAAUCUGAAUCCCAAAUGGUGCCCAAAUGGGCUGAGGCCCACAGCCAGACAUUGGCCCGGAGCCCUGCCUGAUACCGCUGAGCGUAAGACGGGUGUGGCCAGAGGAGACCAGGGCAAACCAGCCCCAUCCCUGGCAAAGGAGAGGCCGCCCAUCACGGCAGGCCGGCCAUGUUGCCUUUCUGUAGACCACCAUGGGCUACCCUCUGAAUAUCAGGCCUGGGGUUCUUUUGGUCUAUAUUGGGCACAAUUGUUUACUGUGCUCAAGGAGCCUGCUGCUGUGACAGUUGGGGUGUGUCUCCCAGAGCGCUCAGAAGCUAGGGUGCCAAGAGUCCCACAAAUCCUCCUGAGAAAUGCUUGGUUAGGAGAAUGCUGGGUUCCGUGCCCAGAGGGAUCUGCUUCAACCUGCCAGAGGGUCCUGGGAAUCUCGAACGAGAGACUGAAGCCCACCGUCUGCCCACAUUAGAUGGACCAUGGUUUCCAGAGCAUAUUCUGGGAUAGGUAUUCCAAGGAACCCACCUUGGGGACCCAGUCACUGAAAGGCCGUCGUAACUAAAAGGUCUCUCUGUUCCUCAGCUGGGUUCCAACUGCUGCAUAACAAAUCACACCCAAUAAGAUUCUAUUAUCUCAGAAGUUUCUGUGGGUAAGGGAUUUAGAAGUGGGUUAGCUAUGGUUCUGGCUUGAGGCCUCUUUUGAGUUGCAGUCAAUAUUGGCUGGGGCUGCAGUCAUCUGACAGCCUGACUGGGGCUGGAGGGUGGACUUCUGAGAUGGGUGCAUUCACAGGGCCAUUUGGGAGAAAGCCUCAGUCCCUCUGCAGGGCCGCUUGAGUGUCCUCACAACAAGGUGGCUGGCUUCCCGCUAGAGUGCUCAAGAGGACCAAGACCAGAGCCACAUGCCUUUUAUGACCUUGCCUUGGGUGGUACAUGCAGGCAUUUCCACAGGCCUCAUUGGUCCCACAGGGCAGCCCUGUCCAUUGUGGGGCGGGGCCUACAGAGAUGGGAAUCCCAGGAGGUCGGAACCAUCUGGAGACCAUCUUGCAGACUGACAAACUGUAACUGUUGCUUCAGCACAAGAAGGUCAGACAACUUGCCUCAGUCACACAGUUGCUUUCUAAUCACUUAGUGCCAGUCAGUAACUGUGAGACGUGAGCCUGCUAACCUGCAAUGUGAAGGGCGGAGGAAGAGAACGCAAUCUUCAGGGCCAGCAAACAACAGCGAUCAGAAUAAUCCUGCCCCAUUUUUUGAGCGUUCACUCUGUACCAGGUGGCUUGUAGGCAUCACGGCGCUGUGCAAUCCUUGUCCCCAAGCAGUAAGUUCCACUAGUAUUUCCAAGUCAGGCCACUUAUUUCUAUGAAAUGCAUAAAAUGAGAUUUUUUUGUAAUGGCGGCUCCAGCAAUACAGGCAGUUCUGCCUUCUGGAAGCUGAGAGACAAAAUCGGUGACCUGGGUGAACUCACGUAGAGAAGAUGGGCGUAAGAGUAAACUUAGGUUGGAUCGAUGCCAAAGUUAAACAAAUAAUAAAUAGUGUGAUAAAAUAUUUAUUUCAUGUACAGUAACCAGAUGAGAAGCCAGGGUGAGCCAGGGGAAUCUUUGCACUACCAGAGCCUCCUUCCUGUGAGAAGUAGUCACACCUCCAGGUUGGGAGGCCGUAAGGUGUAGUGGUGAGAAGCGUGCACCUGGGUGCCUGAGACCUGCAUCCCAGGCCUGCCCGUGUCUGUUAUUAGCUGUGUGACCCAGGCAAGUGACUUCACAGUCUUCAAUUUCCCAUCUGUAAAAUGGGGUGAUAAUGGCGAAGUCCUCUGGUUGUGAUGAGGAUUCAGAGAUGAUCCCUGGUCCAGUGUAAGGGCUCUGGAAUGUGUUACCAUGGCCAGGCUGACGGAGGGUCACCGAGGUGGGAGUACCCCAGGCACAAAGCCCUUAUAGAAGGGCUGUUGCCUGGAAAGAGCCUUGCUCUGUGACCAGUAAUGGACGUGGAGCCGUGAAACACACAUUAGCUCCUGCUCAGACCUCCUGCAGGAGUGACCCCGGGGGACUAGAAGGAACCCAGCCCCUCCUGCCUGAGGCGUGUGUGGGCAUGGAGCCAGGCCAGCCCCUUCCUGUCCUGUCCGGGCACGAUUUCAACAGAGAGAGCGUCCUGGGCAUGUUUUCCCCUGGGAAGCCUCAACCUGCUGAGCAGGACUUGGGGAGCUCUGGCUAAAUGUGCUCUCCCAACAAACAGACCGGGCCUAGAGACGAUUCUCAGAGAACAGAAUUGCAGGCACUGGUUCCGGCUUCCACGGCCGUGGCCUGGGCUGGAGGAGGGUGUUUGAGGGGCAGGCGCUAAGGUGGGUCUCAGGUCAGGCUGGCCUGGGGACACUUGGCCCCACCCAUGAGGACUGUGUGACUCUGAGCAAGUGCCUCCACAUCCCUGGGCCUUGGUUUCCCCAUCCCUAGAAUCCCAGCCUGGCUUGCCUUCCACCUGUGCUGGCCAGGGGGACACAGAGGGAGCCCAUGCGAAUGUGCCCACAUGGGUGUGCUUGGAGCAGGGCCAAAGACACCCUCUCCUCUCCAGCCAGGGCAGCUCAGUUUCAUCUCUGGGAUGUCGGUGUUCUGAGUAAUACUUCAUUAAACAGAAGAAGAAGAAGAAAGUAAAGGAAACGUGUCCACAGCGAAAACAUCAUGGCCUAGCCUUUCCCAGCAGCUGGCUUUGUCCCCUGGCUCAUUCCUUCGUGCUCCCAGGGAGCAGAGGAGUGGACUCUCUCAAGAAGGUUUAGUGACUGCCCACAGCCAAAUGGUUCUUGGCUUUCUAGACUUGAAUCCCUGUUCCUUUUGGCCUCUGAGUUCCCAUGAGAGCAGAAGAAAGAAAGGGGGUUUUUGGUUGAGGGGAUCCUCAGAGGUUUUGGGGUGUCCUCUGUGGGUUCCAAAGCCAUAGGGAGGCUGGGGGCAUCCUGGCCCCCUGUGCUUGGAGUAUCCCCAAAGUGGCCAGCCACGUUCUUCCACACCUGCUUCCAGUGGACGCCUGGGCCAGCCAUUGCUGCCUCUGGGCCUCAGUUUCUUCAUCUGUGAAGGGAGGAGGCUGUGUGCCUCUCAGCCCCUCCCGACUCCAGCACUCUAACUGUGGCAUUUAUGAGCUCUAGCUGUGUCCAGAGCCGUGUCUGGGUGUGGGAGGGGCAGACCCCACCCAGGGAGGAAGGGCCAGUGGGAGCCUGCUGCCUCUGGCUGGCCUGGGGAUGGCAGGGCCCAGAGUGGCCCCUGAGCCCCAGGAGAACCCUGUGCCAGGCCCAGCUGCCAGGCUGCCAUUUGAGUCAUGUCCUGUUGGUGGCACCUUGGCGUGGUUCAGGUGUUCUGGUCUAGGAGCAUAUUUGCUUUAUAUGGGAAAACGUGCUAACUUCCUUUCUCUGAUAUGGUUCUGUUUCUCACUCAAGGAUAUCUUAGUGCCUAAUGCUGGACUUGACCAUAUCGUUCGCCAGGUAAAACCCUUCCAUGGCGCCUCACUGCCCUCAGGAGAUAGGCCGUGCCCGGGAGUGGCCCUUCCGUCCUCUGGAGCCCACACAGGCCGAGCCUUCCCACUGCGGCCUCCACCCCUCACCCUCUCUCAGCCAGAUCGCAAACUGGAACGUGCCCACCUCUCUCAUCUCCUGCAGCCUCACAUUGCCUGCAUCCUCUGCCUCCUGGGGCCUCACACUGGCUGCAUCCUCUGCCGGAACGCUCUCCCUCUCCUCCUCUCAUGGCUUGCUAAUAUCUCUUCCUCCGGGAAGCCCUCCCGGCCUAACUGAGCCACUUCAGUGCACACUAGGAACUCACCCUGUACUUCUCCUUUAUAACACUCAUCACAGUAAUGACCUAAAAAUGCCAGUUUAUGUGAUCGCACCUCACCCCACCCCCCACUAGAACGUGGGCUCUGUGAGGUCCUCCCUGUGGGAUUUUCACCCCUGGUGCCAUUGGCCGUAAUCCAGGGGAGUUUGGAAAUCCCUGCGCAGUGAAUCCGUGACUGAGCCCAACACGCAGCCUGUUGAUCCGGGUUGCUAACCCGGGACCAGCCGGCUGGAGCUGUCAGUGACUCACCUGACCGGAUAGCUCAGAGCCCGGGACCUCUGGCGGCCACCCAGGCCUGGCCUCCCUCCUGAAGUCCCCGCCUGGAAGGAGGGAAGGGGUUAAGUGUUCGUGGCGGCCUCGUGCUGUGUCUGCAGCAGUUCCCCCUUCCGGGGCUGCAGCCGAGGUUGGCGAGGAAUGUUUGCAACGCCGAGCCAGAAGGGAGGGCGGGCUGGUGUAGUGGGGGCCCGUGGAGGCCGGCAGGGCCCGGCUCCGCAGUUGAGCAAUCGCCCGGGCCCAGCCGGUUCCUGUAACUCCUGCCCCUCCCGCCCCUCCCGCCCUUCCCCGCCCUGCUGGCUUCCCCCGCCGCAGCCGGCCUGUAUCCUGGGGCCUGCAGGGGGAGGUGGAGGGGACCGAGGCCCAGCGAGCCUGGAGGCCAGGGGUGAAAGGGAGGGCCUUCCAAGGAGAGACCGAGUAGGAGUGCAGUCAGCUCAGUCACCUAGGCUCAGAGAGGGUGCGGCUUGGGCCCAAGGUCACACAGGGAGGCACCACCCCCGGAUUCAGCCUUUUUUGUUCCUUGCCACCAGGCCACAGCUUGACAGUGUGGAGGUUUCGUUGACACUCAGAUGGAAAGCUCUGAAUCACAGGGGACCCUCUCCCAACUGCAGGCAGCGCCGCCGAAUCCCCAGCCCUGGCCUGGCUCUUCCCUGGGGCCUUGGGGCCUCGGAGAGGACAGUGGCGCUCGUGGGUUGGGGCACCACUCCCAUCCCCUCCCCAGCACUGCCGGAAGCCCAGCCUGUCCCGGGGACACUGUCACCGCCAUUCCUUGCCUCCAGGAGCCCGGAGUGGAAGGAGAAGGCCAGGCUUGAGCUGGCUGGAAGCCCCUCUCCUUUCUUCUUCCGUUUCUCUUAAGGAAGGACCUUCAUGGGAACCAAAUAUUACACUGAGCCCAGGCGCAAGACCAAUUUCUUUCUCCGCAAGCAUAGACCUUCCCUGGCACUGCAGCACCAGCUCCUUCUGCCAACACGAUUGACAAGUGACCUCUGGGGAGGUGACCUCUACGGGCAUUCGGGCCCGACAGGAAUCCCGGCUCCACCACCUUCAAGCUUCGUGGCACCUCUUUCUAAGCCUCAGCUUCCUCAUCUGUGAACUGGAGCUCAGAGAGGGCGGGCGCAGUGGGGAAGCACCCGUCUGGUUCUGCGGAGGCUGCGGGCCGCUUGCCUUUCCUGGUCCCGCGGACGUUCCGUCUGUUUGGGGCUUGCUCAGGUCCCUCCCCGCUCUGUGCCCUGGGCCUUGUCUGGUCCGCCAGGGGAUGACAGGCUCGGCAGCCCUUAGAGGUGCUGCCUCGGCCUCGUCUGGCUGGAAUCAGCAGUGGAGCCCCUGGGACCCCACAUCCGGAGGGCAGGAUAGGUGAUCCAUGGGAGCUAGAAGUUCUGUGAAAAACCAAGCACCCCAACUACAGGCAAGGAGGCUCAUGGGAGGAGUGACUCGCCAAGCCAUAGAGAGGGAUUUUAACCCAGGAAACCACACCAGUAACACCAAGGACCCUCCUACGCUCGGUUCUGCCACCGUUUAGUGAGUCCUUAGUGGGUGCCGGGCAGUGACUCACCUACUUUAAUCCAACAACGUACCUAAGAGGGAAGCAUAUUGAUUCCCAUUUUCUCAGGAAACAGAAAUUGAUACACUUGCCCAAGGUCACACAGCUUGUACAGAGUGGGGCCUGACUCUGCACUCAGGCCACCUGCCUCCAGAGCCUGUGCUCUUGGCCGAUCCCGACUGCACCCGCUUCGGAUCCAGGCUCUGCAUAGAGAGGCUGCGCCACCUUAGGUGCAGGGAGCUCAGAGGGCGCAAGCCUCUUCCCCUAGGGCACACAGCUGGCUGAGCCACGACCCAUGGCCCGGGCCCCUGACUCCCUGUCCGUGGCUGCACCGAGACCACGGCCGCUGGGAAAGACCCCCUCAGCUGGCUGGGCUCCACGGACAGAUGGACAGAUGACGGCUGCCCCCUCCCAUAGCCUGCGGGCUCCCAGGCUUCGCCACCUCCUCCGGAGCAGGUUUCCUUUAAGAAACCAGAAGAUUGAUUUCCUGGCAGGCUCUGCGCCGAGGAGCCCGUCCAAAUGGACAUUAGGCCAUGUGGCAGCUGCUGGGCAGCCUGGAGGGUUGGGUGAAGACAGAAACAUUUCACAGAGGAGGCUCCAGCCUACAGGGAAGGCCGUUCUGGAGUGGAGAGCUCAGACCAGCUGGAGACCCGGAGUCCAUGUGUGUGAGUGUGCGUGUGCACACGCACACGUCAAUGUGUUUGUGCAGUGUAUCUAUGUGUAGGUCUCUGUGUGUGUGUCACUAUGUCAUUGUGUGUUGUAUAAUUAUCCAUGUGCCAGUGUGUGUGUUAGUGCAAGGGUGAGAUUGUGUGUGUGUGUGCGUGUGUCAAUGUGGUGGCAGCCGAGAACUCUGGUCCUUAGGCUGGCAAGCAGCUGGGGUACAAAUUCCCUGAGGGUUUCCAUCUCCCCGAGGUUCAGGCCUUUCUUCUUAGGCCUCUGUCAUCCGCACAGGAAGCUGCUCCCCUUUCCAGGGACACCUCGGCCGUUUGAGCUGCAGAAUGGGAGGCAGGACCUCAGCAGGCAGCUGUGAGGGCCCAGGUGAGGGCCUGGGGAGGCCGAGGCUCCCCGAAGCUCUGAGUAGAUGAGAGGGACAUUGUCCCUGGGGCAGGAAGCAGGCUUUCUCCAGAAGCUCUCCCUGUGUACCUAUGUGUGUGAGUGUGACACUCGCAACUGUCACGUGUCGAUUCACUUAAAAUGCUCCUUUCCUACCCCAGGCCAAGCUCCUUCGCCCAGGCUCCGGUCGUCACUGUGGGUGGGCCUCUUUCACCCAGGGCUCACACCCAUGUCCACAGCACAAAUUCAGCUCAAGUCCUAAGUCCCCCAUCAACUCGCCUGUGUCUUGGGACAGUCCACCCUGCUUCUAGGGCUCCUCACGGGGUCGCCGGAGCCGGCUCCGGCCAGGGGCAGAGCACUAACCGUGACUGUUACCCGUAGCCUCUUUGCAUCACCACGUCAAGGGAGGUCUUUCACUGAGAACCAUUUUGAACGGACAACUAUGCCCCCCUCUCAACACCUCCUCCCUUGGGGCCCUCGGGAGCACCCUGCCAAGCCAGCGCCGCCUCCCAGAGGUCCUCAGCCCAGAGAGGGAAGGGUGGUGAGCCUGGGAUAGGGAAGAGCCCUGGGUCUCCCCAAGAAGUAACGCUGUGUUUGUGCGAUCGCUUGUUCAGCACCCUUUUCCUGCUACAGGAGGGCAGUUCCUGGGUCUGCACCAGGGCCUCCCCCAGCCAAGCUGAGCACACAGUAGUUAUUUGAUAAGUAUUUGUGGAAAUAAAGUGAGCGGAUGGAGAAAUUAGCGAAUGCAAGGGCUUUGACUACACACAUUACCAGGCCUCCUGCCCCGUGGCCACCUUGGGGUCUGUACCCACACUCCCCAGCUGCUGGGGGCUGCUGUGUGCGGACCAGCUGUGUCAGGCCCUAACCCUGGGCAGAGGGCCACCACGGCUCCUGCAGAUCUUGCUGACAGGGCUGAAAAUGCGUCUGUGCCUCCCUUCGCAACCCACCAUUACUCAUGGUUGGCAUUUAUCCCCAAGCAAGGGGUGACCCAUGGAGCAGCCCAAAGCCUCUCCUGUGUUCUGAGGAAGGGUGGCCAGAGGCUGGGCUGUGGGAGGCAUGGCAGGAAUUGUGAGCAGCUGCUCUGAGUGCAGUGACCAUAUUUUCCUGAGCUGGAAAAUUAGAACACAGAAUGUAACUGAGGGUUUUCUCAGAUUUGUUCAUUUAAUGAGUGGAAAAUCUUACAAAGGUAUGAAAGCUAAAACUAAUUUAGUUAUGUUGUUGGUAAUGGAGUCUUUGUUGAAAAGAAUCUGAGUUCCCCAAAUCAGGGAGAUUUGGGAAAUGAAUAAUUCAAUUGGACUAAUAUUUUGGGGACAUUUGGGUCGAUCCUGUUCUUGGUGCUUGCACUAAAAUAGGGAGCAAAACAGGUGUGAUCCUGGCUUCACAGAGCUCACACGGGGAGGCUGACAUUCCUCAAACAACUUCAUAGUUUGGUCCUGUGAGCAUCUGUGAGAGCUAUGGGGAUGUAUGGGUCAUGAGGGCUGAGGGCUCCCAUGUGGACAGGGGUUGGGAUGUCCAGGGAGACUUCUUUGAAGAAGUAAUGUUUAAGGUGAGACAGAGCCUUUUAGGAGUUAAAUGUUGAAGAGACAGGAGUGGGGUGUGUUAAGGAAACAUAUUUCAGGCAGGAGGAAGAGUAUAUGCAAAGGGCCUGUGGCAGAAAGGAGUGCUGGGUAUUUGAGGGACAGGAGGGCAUCCCAGGUGCCUGGAAAGGGGUCAGUGAGGGGAGAAGAGGUUGGAGAUGUUGGAAGCGGCCAGCCCAGGCAGUGCCCACCAGUCCAUAGAGCACAGGGGGCUUUGUCUUACUGGCAAUGGGAAGCCAUGGACUGUUUGACGCAGGCCUAUUCAGAUGUCUAGAUGUUGAUGAUACUAAGGAUCAUGAUAAUGCUGAUAAUUAUAGCAAGUGUUUAAUGAGUGUGUACUAUGUGCCAAGCGCCAUUUCAGCAAUUUCACAGAUAAGAAAAGUAAGGGCUGGAAGGAGAAGUGACUUACCCAAAUGGCAAAUGGCAGAGAUGGAACUGAGUCUGUCAGGAUCCAAAGUCCUGUUCUUCUCCCACCACAAAGCUGAUCUUGUCUGGAUGUAGAAGGCCACAGGACAUGUGGGUGACCCACAGGACAUAUGGGCGAUCUCCACUCCUUUCUUGCUGUGGCGUUGCCUCCUCUCUGCCCUGUGUCCCAGGCCUGGGUGGGGACUCUAGGUCACAGGGUCAGCCGGGACAGGAAAGGUCCAGCUCUCUUCCUGCUCAGCACCUGGGGUGGUGGUGGUGGGGAAGCAGGGGUUGCAACAUCAGAGGCUGAGGUUCUGGAGAAGUUGGGACUCCGGCUGGGGUGGGGCCUCCCCCAGCCUUUCAUAGGAGCGCAGGUCACACUGCAGCACCAGGAGCACAGCACCCUUACCCGUUUGGAGCUGAGGACUUUGAGACGCUGCUCUAAUAGCCCCAGGAGUGGGGCAGCACCCAGUCCCUGCUUCCUCCUGUGGAAGCAGCCCUGGGUGAUCGCACCACUACGGACUCGCCAGUGGCAUUUAAGAAGGCCCUAGCCCCUCAGCGGUUAUUGGGGAAAUGCAAAUCAGAACCGUGAUGAGCCACCACCUCACACCUGGUAGGAUGGCUACUAUCAAGCUCCAGAAAAUAAUGCCGGCAAAGAUUUGGAGAAAUGGGAAUGUAAAACGGUGAAACCACUGUGGAAAACAGUAAGGAAGUUCCUCAAAAAAUUAAAAAUACCCCGGAAGAUGACUGGUUAGCCAGAGACGGGUAAGAUUCCUCAAGGGAGGAACAACCUAAGACAGGCACAGUCGCAGGGGGGUCAUCAGGUGAGAAAUUGGGGAUCAACAGAGGUGAGGCUUAGAACCUCACCCCCCCGUUCUGAGAGAAAUCUUCUGCAUACGUGGAUGUUUUAUUGCCCUUGUCUAGCUUGGAUUAACACAUAGUCUACAGGCACACACCUGAUCAUCUACAUUUGCUCUCUUACAACACUAAACUAUGUUUUCUACCUUUAUGUUGUAUCUACCUACCACUUCAGCAUUUU
Long non-coding RNA from Manis pentadactyla (Chinese pangolin), 11522 nucleotides. RefSeq lists it as uncharacterized. NCBI's taxonomy places the organism in Eukaryota, Metazoa, Chordata, Mammalia, Pholidota, Manidae. The record is from RefSeq and is a predicted model, not a curated record. The transcript has 6 exons.